CCUACGGGAGGCAGCAGUGAGGAAUAUUGGUCAAUGGACGAGAGUCUGAACCAGCCAAGUAGCGUGAAGGAUGACUGCCCUAUGGGUUGUAAACUUCUUUUAUAUGGGAAUAAAAUGUUCCACGUGUGGGAUUUUGUAUGUACCAUAUGAAUAAGGAUCGGCUAACUCCGUGCCAGCAGCCGCGGUAAUACGGAGGAUCCGAGCGUUAUCCGGAUUUCUUGGGUUUAAAGGGAGCGUAGGUGGAUUGUUAAGUCAGUUGUGAAAGUUUGCGGCUCAACCGUAAAAUUGCAGUUGACACUUGCAGUCUUGAGUACAGUAGAGGUGGGCGGAAUUCGUGGUGUAGCGGUGAAAUGCUUAGAUAUCACGAAGAACUCCGAUUGCGAAGGCAGCUCACUGGACUGCAACUGACACUGAGGCUCGAAAGUGUGGGUAUCAAACAGGAUUAGAUACCCUGGUAGUC
RNAcentral lists this ribosomal RNA (460 nucleotides) under uncultured bacterium. Its description in RNAcentral is "partial 16S ribosomal RNA". It matches the Rfam family "Bacterial small subunit ribosomal RNA", at positions 338 to 795 of the family's 1533-position model. The record is from RNAcentral.